This 386-nucleotide ribosomal RNA is filed under the name uncultured bacterium. RNAcentral's name for it is "bacterial SSU rRNA". It matches the Rfam family "Bacterial small subunit ribosomal RNA", at positions 370 to 772 of the family's 1533-position model. The record is from RNAcentral.
AAUGGGGGAAACCCUGACGCAGCGACGCCGCGUGAGUGAUGAAGGACUUCGGUUCGUAAAGCCCUGUCGCAUGGGAAUAAUUUUGAAGGUACCAUGUAAGAAAGGAUCGGCUAACUUCGUGCCAGCAGCCGCGGUAAGACGAGGGAUCCAAGCGUUGUUCGGAAUCAUUGGGCGUAAAGCGGACGUAGGCGGCUUUUCAAGUCGGAUGUGAAAUCCCUGGGCUUAACCCAGGAAGUGCAUUCGAUACUGUUAAGCUUGAGUGUGGGAGAGGCUAGUAGAAUUCCUGGUGUAGUGGUGAAAUACGUAGAUAUCAGAAGGAACACCGGUGGCGAAGGCGGCUAGCUGGCCCAACACUGACGCUGAGGUCCGAAAGCGUGGGGAUCAAA